This 433-nucleotide ribosomal RNA is filed under the name Bacillus subtilis. RNAcentral describes it as "bacterial SSU rRNA". It matches the Rfam family "Bacterial small subunit ribosomal RNA", at positions 557 to 988 of the family's 1533-position model. The record is from RNAcentral. Lineage: Bacteria; Bacillati; Bacillota; Bacilli; Caryophanales; Bacillaceae.
GGCGUAAAGGGCGCGCAGGCGGUUUCUUAAGUCUGAUGUGAAAGCCCCCGGCUCAACCGGGGAGGGUCAUUGGAAACUGGGGAACUUGAGUGCGGAAGAGGAUAGUGGAAUUCCACGUGUAGCGGUGAAAUGCGUAGAGAUGUGGAGGAACACCAGUGGCGAAGGCGACUCUCUGGUCUGUAACUGACGCUGAGGAGCGAAAGCGUGGGGAGCGAACAGGAUUAGAUACCCUGGUAGUCCACGCCGUAAACGAUGACUGCUAAGUGUUAGGGGGUUUCCGCCUCUUAUGGCUGCACCUAACGCAUUAAGCACUCCGCCUGGGGAGUACGGUCGCAAGACUGAAACUCAAAGGAUUUGACGGGGGCCCGCACAAGCGGUGGAGCUUGUGGUUUAUUUCAAAGCAACCCGAAGAACCUUACCAGGUCUUGACAUC